This 464-nucleotide ribosomal RNA is filed under the name uncultured bacterium. RNAcentral describes it as "partial 16S ribosomal RNA". It matches the Rfam family "Bacterial small subunit ribosomal RNA", at positions 339 to 795 of the family's 1533-position model. The record is from RNAcentral.
CUACGGGGUGCUGCAGUGGGGAAUAUUGCACAAUGGGCGCAAGCCUGAUGCAGCCAUGCCGCGUGUAUGAAGAAGGCCUUCGGGUUGUAAAGUACUUUCAGCGGGGAGGAAGGGAGUAAAGUUAAUACCUUUGCUCAUUGACGUUACCCGCAGAAGAGGCACCGGCUAACUCCGUGCCAGCAGCCGCGGUAAUACGGAGGGUGCAAGCGGUAAUCGGAAUUACUGGGCGUAAAGCGCACGCAGGCGGUUUGUUAAGUCAGAUGUGAAAUCCCCGGGCUCAACCUGGGAACUGCAUCUGAUACUGGCAAGCUUGAGUCUCGUAGAGGGGGGUAGAAUUCCAGGUGUAGCGGUGAUAUGCGUAGAGAUCUGGAGGAAUACCGGUGGCGAAGGCGGCCCUCUGGACGAAGACUGACGCUCAGGUGCGAAAGCGUGGGGAGCAAACAGGAUUAGAUACCCUGGUAGUC